This is a long non-coding RNA of Equus caballus (horse), 5308 nucleotides long. RefSeq lists it as uncharacterized. NCBI's taxonomy places the organism in Eukaryota, Metazoa, Chordata, Mammalia, Perissodactyla, Equidae. The record is from RefSeq and is a predicted model, not a curated record.
CCACAAACCCCAGGCAGCUGAAUCAGAGCAUGCAAACUUAACCACUACACCACUGGGCCAGGAGGGCCUGGGGAAUUUUUAAACUACUGAUACCUGGGUUCCACCCGCUCCAGCAGAUUCUGAUACAAUCAGUAUAAAGGUUUAUGUCCUGGACAUCAGGAUUUUCUUUUUUAAAGCUCCCUAGGUGAUUCAAAUGGGCAGCAAUGUUUGAGAGCCAGUCUUAGAUCAGAUUCUUAGCUGAUUCGAUGGAGUGGCUUCUCUAGGGGUAGGUGUCCGUCCUGGUUCGGGCAGCUGUGGAUGGAGGUGGAGUUCACAAGUAUAAACACGUCAGGCCCACUCAGGACUCUCUAAGCCAGGUGGGCAAGCAGAACAGGAGAACAGGCAGGUAGGCAAGGAUCAGCAUAUCUGGAAGAGUAAAGGGUUUGGAGUCCAAAAGGCUUGGCUAUAAACCCUGGCAUUACCAUUUCCUAGUUGUACGUUCUGCUCCAGAAAUUCUGAUUUCAGAACUCUUUGAGCCUUAGUUUCUUUAAGUGAAAGGUGAAGGCUACAAUUUCUGAUCCACAUCCUUCUCAGAGUGUUUAGAGGGUCAGUGCAGUGCUGUCCAACCAGGGGUGUGCAGGGGAGACUCAACUGGGAGAAGUUUCUAAGGAAAACAGGCUAGUCUUCCAUACCAGAGGCUGCAAGUCUCAGGGUGGUAUAGGCAUAGGUGUUUUUACAAGCUCCCCAGAUGAGCCUGCUAUGCAUCCCUGGCUGGGAAACACUGAUCAGCUGAGAUCAUGUAAAUGAAACCUUAGGACUGCCCUUGACUCUUCCACCAAACCCCAUGGAUUCAACUCCCUAAAUAGCUCUUGAAUCCAUCCAUCCAUCUCAAGCUUAGAGCCUUAUUUGGAGACUAAUGUAGAACAUCCCUCACCCUCCAACUCUUCCUAAUUCCUUGCAAUCCAUCUUCCACAUAGCUGCCAGUGCAAUCUUUCUAAUACAGGAAUCUGCUUAUGUCAUCCUCCUGAUCAUGAAAAAGACCAAAGGCCUUGGAGUGGUAUGCAAGGACACUGAUGGUCUGGCCAUACCUCAUUUUCCAUCACUCUCCUCCUCAUACCCUAUGAUCCAACAGUGCUGUCACCCCUAGGAGGGCUCCAUUCUCUCUCAUGUCUGUGCUACCUGGAAUGUCCCUCCACAUCUUUUCCUGACAAACUCCUGCUUUUCCUCACUCAGCUCAACCAUCCCCUUCCCUGUGAGCCCCCUAGACCCUUCCUGCUUCCCCCCAGAGGUUGAGGGAGAUUUGGGGCCUGUUCUAAUUUAUGUAUUUUAAAGUAUACUUCAAAAGAUGAAGAAUGCCCAAAGAAAGUUACAAAAAAGUUGUCAUUCUAUCUCUGUGAAUGUAUAUUCAUUUGGUGACAAAUCAAACAUCCUAAUUUGAAAUGUAAAUUCUCACAUUUUAAAAAUGUAAGACUUGGCUAAAUGACCUUUCUGCUCCCUAACCCCCAUCCACCCCACUCAAAUGUCCUGCUUUGAGGCUGCAUAAUCUCCAGAUUUGGGGAGCCAUGCAUCCAGUGGUACACAAAGUAUAUCCAAGAGAUAUGGGUGCGGAGGCAAAUUUUAAGAGAAUUUCUAGAUCCUCGACUUCUCUAGGUACUUUUUCUUAAACUGAUCUGCCUAAGAAAGUGCUUGUUGCUGAGGCCUCAUGCUGUUUCUCCUUUCCUUUCCUCCUCUUCCACAAUCAUACUCCUCCCACUUUACCAGAGAUAUGCGUACUUCCCACCCAACCUAAAUCUUACUACAGUUCAGGGCUCUAGUUCCGGUGUAAGAAGUCUGGGGCACCAAGGGGCAAUGAAGUCGGCUGUCUCUGCAGACAGAAGUUGGCUGUCUGCAAAGUCUUUCGUUGUCAAGGCACCACAACCACCCAUAUCCAUCUCCCUAGAUUUGUAGUUUCAUUAAAGUUUUGCUUUCUAAGGUCCAUAAUAAAUUUACCCAAAAAUGUAAUAUAUGUAUAUGGUUUUGAUCAAUUGUAUAGUAGUAAUAAAGGUGACUGUAAAUCAUACCUAAAGAAAAUCUUUAAAAACUUUUUGAGCCUUAUGUUCAGAGACAAUAAAAAUAACAAUCUCAGUCUGUAGAUACGGUUUUAUGGCUGAAAAAUAUGAUGAGGGUGAAUACAAGACUUUCAAGCACAAAAAUAUAUGACAUGAGGAACAAAUUCAAGGAGGGAAAAUACAAUGGAAACAACGAUUCUGAGGAAAAAAGCAGGGCUGCACAAAUUCCAACUGCAUUUUUCAAAUGUAUGUUGGUAUCAAAUCUCUAGGGUUUCUAUAGUUCAUUGGAUACAUUAGAAAGAGGCAUGUAGUGGUUUAUUUCAAAACACCAAUACUUAGAGCAGCUAUUGCAUCCUUUGCAACUAUUUAAACUUGUGAUGAAAAAUUUUAAACGUCAACUUUAUAAUGUGCAUUGCGGCUUCAUGGUUUAAAAAGAAUUUUAGGGAGUAUGUGAGUAAGAAAAUGGGAAGAUCAGUGCUCUAAGAAAUGUUAGGCCUCAUUUCUAGGUGAGUCUCUGAAUACCUAGGGUGAGGGAUGGAAGUGAGAACAAGAGGCCAGGGGAGAGUUUGGACUCGGGGAGGGGAUGAAGACUAGGAAAGCUGGCCUGGAUGUAGAGGCUCAUCCCCCGAGGGCAACUGGAUAGCUCUGGACAGUGUUCAAAUGCAGGGCAAGCUAAGGCAAGAUGCAGGCAGUGAUAAUCUGAAGGCCCAACCCAGCAGGCUGCGCCAAACUAGCGUGAAAGGUCUGUCCAGGAGGUAGGUAAACCUCAAAGUCACCUAUGUGAGAGCUGAUGAGCCUGCAUUCCAACCAGGAACCAUCCUCCACUCCCCUCAUGGGGAGGAGCUUGGCAAAGAUGUCAAGACCUCAAAUAAGGACUGGACUUCAGAAGAAUGUUCUCAGAUCAGAGAGGCUGGCCACUGCAACAAUCAACCCCAGCAUCUCAAAGAUUUAAUACAGGGAAGACUUUUGUCCCUCAUGUAACAGUUCAGUGACUCAGGGACCUCUGUACCUUCUUUCUUAGUCUCCACCUUCCUGAGGCUGUCUGUUGCAGCCAGAAGAAGAAGAGAGAGAGGAUCAUGUGGCAAUGUUUAUUGACCAGUGGUGAAGUGACAGCCAUGAUCACUUCUGCUCUUAUUCCAGUGGCCAGAAUUCAGUUAUAUGGCCACAUCAAAUACAAGGGGAGCUGGAAAAAGUGAUCUAGAUGAACAUCCAGAAGGAAAAGAAAUGGUUUGGCACUGUGCCAGGCUUUGUAGGAUGAAAAGAAGUCAGAGGGAGGGGCCUUUGGACCAAGUCCUCACUGACUCAAAGCCCGGGAGGCAGAGGAAGCUCACCAUCUUCUUCAUCAGCCUUUCGUCCAUAAAAGGUCCUUUUGAUUUACUACCAAGAAGCCAUCUCUGGACCACAGAGGCAAGAUUUCAAAAAUUCUUCCCCAGUUCCUGACUAAAGAUGCCCAAAGAGACUUCUAAGCCAAUGACCUUCAAAGAGGGAAUGGAAUUCUUGGCUUUGAAGAGAAGGGCUUGAUGGUUGGGUGGUUUGUUAUGUCUUAAAUGUGAAAUGGGAGAGUUGUCCCACAUGGGCAGCGUGUGAUGGGUCUGUGGACUGAGGGCUUGUGAGUGACUGGGCGUCUGCACAGCUUGGCUUCAUAUUGGUUCCUGCCAUAUUAGAGUCCAACGUCCCUCAGGCAUGCAGAAGCAGUCAUUUCUUCUAAGAGAUUUGAAGACACCAAAUAUAAAAUGAGUUGCCCAAAGAGAAUCUUAAGUUAAGGCCAUUGUACCUAUUCUUCCAAGAGAGGAGAAAGGUGUUUGAUGAUAAAAGUAGAGCUGAACCCUAACUUAUAACUGCUCAAUCUAAACUGGGUGGUGCCACCAAGAGGAUGGAUGCCCACUGACCUGUGUACAAAGCUAUCAUCUAUUACGGAUGUCAGAGUAUGUAAACAUUAUCUAUGUGAGGGCAUCACCCAUUCCCACACCAUUACUCCCUGCUCUGUCUUCUGAACAGAACUGUUUUCUGUCCUCUUUGAAGGAAAAAACGGUCUGAAAUAUUGAACUGGGAAAAGUGCUCCAGGCACACAUUCUACUCCCCGGGCCCUCACGGCAGUUAUUUAUUGAGGAUGUAUCAUGUGCCAGAGACUAGACAUUUGUUAUGUCAUUAGUUCUCUCCACAACCCUCAGAGGUGGAGAUUACACCUUCAUUUCACAGAUGAAGAGAUUUAGGUUCAAAAUUGCUUAGUGAUUGCUCAAGGUCACACACCUGCUAAGUGACAGCUCUGAAUCCAGUUUCAUCAAGCUCCUCACCACAGAACCUCCUUCUCACAUGCCAGAGAUGCUGAAUUCCUUGGCCUGCGCUGUGGCCCACGCAGUGCCAAUGUUUUGAGCUCCUCAGGUGACUCUAAUGGCAGCCUGGGCUGGGAACCACCACACUCCAUCAGCCUUCUUAUAAAUCAGGGGUCUUUAUUCUAUCUUACAUCACAGAUUAUUUUAGGGGGAGGAAAAAGAGCCAUAGAUCUCCUCUACAGAAAAAUGAAUAUAUGUGUUUAUACACAAAAAGUUGCAUACAAUUUCAGGUAAUUAUGAAAGUUUUGAAGCUUCUAUGCAGAUGCCCCAAAGCUCAGGAACUCAAAGUAAGGCCAAGUCUAUAAAUCCUUGGCUCCAAUUACUUGGCCACCCAUGGGAGUUAGCAGGGAGUCUUCAAAAAAUUUCAAUUUCUGGGCCCCACUCCAGAUCUGCUAACUCAGUAUUGCUAGGUCUGUAGUCCUGUAAUAUGCUCCCAGACAAUUCUUAGACUUCCACCUAGAAAACAGUCUUUGGACUGGUUUUUGGGAACCGCCCUCUAAAUGAUGCCCAUUCAAUGGAUCAGAAUUCAUCUCUGUCACUUCUAGGUAAUGUUAGGUAAGCUACUUAACCUCCCAAACCUUCUAUUUUCUCUUCUGUAAAAUGGGGAUAACAAUUGUCCCUACCUCAUAGGGUUGACAUGGAUUAAACAGUCCAUGUAAGUGUUUAGCACAGUAUCUGGCAUAUAAGCACUCAAUAAGUGUUAAUUUAUUAUGAAUUCUAUAGUGCUAUCAUGCUAUUAUCUAUGUAAUUAACCUCUGUAAAUGGUCUUUUUGUGAUAAAAGUGGGAAUCGAAUCUAAUUUCUAGUAGACUGUCAACAACAAUACAUGAGAGAAAGAAAAAAAUUCAAAGUUUAUUAAACAUUAAGAAUAACAGACAAAGGUUUGGACUUAACAGCAUAAACACCACCGAUACCACGUGUACAAUUAAACUGACCUCAUGUGAACUUG